GUUCUGAUACUCAUACUAGCUCUGUGACCAUAGGCAAGUCAGUCUCCACUCUCUGGCCUUCGUUUCUGUUUAUAAAAAGAAAGGGAAAGAACCAAUGAUUUCUAAGUCUUCUCCUGGAUCUACAUUUCCAGGAUUCUUUAUUGCAGUGUCAACAAAGGCACCUACUCUGGGGCAGAGACUGUAUUGGGGCUUUACACAUACUGCAUCUAUUUUAUCCUCACAUCUCCUCAGGUUAGAUUUUAAUAUUUCCAACAGUUCUAUGUUUCCUACAAGGAAAAUGCAAGGUGUUGGUGGGCCGGGGCGGGGUGUAAUCUUUCUGAAGUUGUGUAGAUAUAAAAGUCAUCAAUGGAUUUAAACCCAGGCGGCCUGAUUCUCACAUCUCCCCUGGCCUCAAAAUUAUUUCCAUAUUCAUAUGAAAAACCCCAGCCAGUCACAAGAGCCCAUACAGUGUCCAGUGUCUGUCACUAGCAGAAGGAAUGAAAGGGAAUUUAUCUGCAGAAUGAGGAAUUACAACUGGAGUAAAAAGAGAAUGGUCUGAAGGUUUCUAGGCAGCAGAGUCAAAACAAGGACAGCUUCAUGCUUAAAGACACAGAUGGCCAUAGCUCAAAAUGUUUGAUUCUGGUCCAGGCUGGACUUGGAGGCAUAGAUUAGAAGACCUGAAAGCCACUUUUCAUGUUUGAAGAAAAGAAUAAAAGUUAGGAAAUGAAGAUCUGCAGAGUGAGAAGCCAGACCAUUCAUGAUGGUCUUUAUCUUUGUAAAGAUUUUCUUGAUAAUUUUUUUUAAAAAACCAAGUCCCUUAAUUUUAGAGUAUAUCUUUUAUUAAAGAAGCUGUUUCAUAACUAUGUCUCACCUACUUGCAAGAAAAUUAUUUCCACUAGAUAGAAACAUUAUUAACCACAUUAUGUCUAUGAGAAAACUGAGGCCAAGUGAGGAAAGAUGAAAUUAGAAACAUUAUCUCCUGAUGCCCAGAUUCAUAGACUCCAUACCUCACUGAUAUGGCAGAGACUACUGGAUGCCUACCCAAUAGCCUUGUUCCCUUAAUAGAAGAGCCUAGUUUUAUUUGAAGCAGCAAAGCAUCAAGCAAAAAGAUUAUAUUCCCAAGCCUCCCUUUCAACUAGAGUUGAUCAUGCAACCAAGUUCUGGACAGACAGUGAGUACUUUUGUGGGAGAAUUCCAUAAAGUCCUUUUAAAGCAACCUGAGUUAAUGAAGGUGGAUCAUUUGUUCCCUUCUUCUUUUUUUUCUUCCUGCUCCCUGCCGAUGAAAAACUAAAGCUCCAUCCACUAUCGUGGGCUAACAGUGAGCUUGAGUACAAAGCUGUGCAUUAGGAUGAAGAAGAUGAAAUAUAAUGGGAGCCUGGGCUCCUGAGCAUCUCAAGGCUGCCAUACCAACCCUGGCUUGCCUUCUUCUGAAAUUCUCAUAUAUAAGAAAGAAAGAAAUGAUUUUUAUAAAGCCACAUUAUUUGCAGGGCUUCUUUUUUAUGCAGCUAAGCCUAAUCCUAAAGGUUACAAUGAGAUGGCUUAAUUUGAGAAAUGAUGCAGAAAGAAGACACUAUCUGCUAUCAGACCUGGUUCCUUCCCUUGGCCCACAUGGUCAUAAGAAGGAAGGAAGGAAUAAUGAAUGAAACACAGUUCAUCAGAUUGGAAUGCCAUCAACUGCAUGACAUGCUAUAAUUUUAUGCAUCACCAACAAAGAAAAAAAUGUUGCCAAUUAAACUAUGACAUGUCAUUGAUUGUGAGAUGCAAAUCAAUUUCAUAAAUGCUAAAAUGUGAGGGGAAAAAAAGCCAACCUGUGAAAUAUGGUGUGCUGAGGAUUUAGCAAAGCACAGUUAGGAUUUAAAGUUCAUCAGAUCAAUGCAUCCUCCCAUCCCUAUCUUAAAGAACAGGACACCAACACCAAGGUCCAGCAAGGGGCAGUAAUUUGUCCUAUAAAAUUCAGGGAUAGAGACAAGAUGAGAAUCUUGACAGCAAAUUGAGAGCUCUUUAAUAGGUCCCAAUAGAUACCAAAUAUUUGUUUGUGUUACCUUGACCACUAGCAACACGUUUAUUUAAUCAUCCACCUGUUCCUGUUUUUCCCUUUAAAAUAUGCAGUGCUGAAUAGCAGAGGCAAAGGCCCUCACCCCUCCCACACACAAAUGGACUCAGCAGUCACAGGAGAUGAUGCAGACAGAUUUCCCAGUAAAUUCAUGCUCACACAGGGCAUACACCUGAGUCAGUGGCUCUGAAGGAGAUGAAGAACACCAGGUGGCUAUGGAGAACUGCAGGUAGGAGUCUCUGAAACACAGGAAAUUGAGAUGGCAUAGCAGUGGCUGAUGGCUGGGGCCUGAGGAAUAUUCAGCUCAAAUCUCUCCUUCCUUCUCUUACAAGGGAAGAAACACCAUGGUGAAUGGCGCUUUCCCAAGGGAUAUCCAGAACCUAGACUCCCAGUUUAUCAGAGAUGGAGGGCCCAAAGAGAUCAUGCAUCAGUCUAGCCUGCAUUAAAGAUAAAAAUUCUUCUAAUCUCUCAUAAUCUGUUGUGGGUUUUAGAAAGACCAUGCUUCUGACAGUACUGUUGAUUCCGGAGGCAAGGAGUGAAGUAAGAAGGACACUUCAGCCAUCCAGGUAAAGAGAACAGCAGGUCCUGGACUAAAGCAGAAAAGACGGAGUGAGUAGGAAAGAUGGUCCAAUCAAACAUCAACGAAGCUUCAAAAACAUCAAGCUUCUGAAGUCAUUUUCCUGUUCUUGGUACUGUUUCCUCCUCUGUUCCCAAAUAUACCCUAUGCCCUCGCUCUCAACAAAAAAAAAAA
Molecule: long non-coding RNA, 2783 nt
Filed under: Homo sapiens (human)
Lineage: Eukaryota; Metazoa; Chordata; Mammalia; Primates; Hominidae
Description: long independently transcribed non-coding RNA 1613 (LINC01613)
Source: RNAcentral